GAAGGCGUAGAAGCUCAUUUUCUUGUUAUCUAUCUCUGAUUCUCUGUGAAAAUCGGAGUGAAUGUGAUGAUGAGCACAACCACAACCCAUAUAAUCGCCUGCCGGCCGACUAUCUGUGGUAGAAGUACAAGUGUGCCUCAGCAGAAGCAGCUUUUUGGGUUAAAGCCGUUUAAUUUGCCGAGGACCUCUUUGAACCUAAGCCUGUCGGCUCCUCCACCACACCGCCGACUUUGCAUUCCCGUUUUGAAGUUCAAGCAAUCUGCAACUGUUUGUUUAGCAAGGUCCGGAAGCGACAAUGAGGGUUCUCCAUGGAAAGCUUUUGGGGACGUAAUGGGAAAGUUUAAAAAGGAUUCCUCAAUAGAGGAUGUACUACGGCAGCAGAUUGAAAAGAAAGAAUACUAUCCAGAUAGAAGUGGCGGUGGUGGUGGUGGUGUUGGUGGUGGUGGCAGUGGAGGCAGUGGUGGAGGUGGUGGCGGUGCAGAUGGCUCUGGUGGAUCAGAAGAUGAAGGCCUGGCUGGGAUCGCUGAUGAAACUAUCCAAGUGAUUUUAGCGACCCUUGGCUUCAUUCUUCUGUAUAUAUACAUCAUCAGUGGCGAAGAGCUUACUCGUCUAGCUAAGGACUACAUCAAGUAUCUCUUUGGAGGAAGUGAGAGUGUUCGCUUAAAACGAGCCAUGUCCCACUGGAGAAGGUUGUUCAGGAGGCUGACUGAGAAGAAGGAGACUGAUAAAUAUUGGCUGGAAAAAGAAAUAAUCAAUACUCCAACUUGGUGGGAUAGCCCAGAAAAGUACCGUCGUAUCUCUAGGGCUUAUGAAGAGUCAAAUUCGGAUCAGUUUUAAGAGUCCUGUUAUAUUAUUCAUGCCUACAUUCUUUUAGAUUAACUUUUUAGCUAUUGUUUCUUGAAGAUGGUAUGAUUUUUAGUUGUAAUCUUAGUUAUCAAGGCUGUAAAAUUUUGUCAGGUUGGAAGAAAUAUAUUGCUUCAUGUUUUAAAAGCUGUUAGAAACCUUAUAGCGGCCAAACUUAUUGGGUUCAUAGCCAAUGUCAAAUUUUGCAUUCUGGACUAACAAUUAUAGGCUGUAAGAUUUAAGGACUUUGUAUCUGGUAGGGCUUUUGUACGAUGGGAAUUUUGAAAUAAACCACCAUUUAGUCCCAUGUAUUUGUUUUUAAAUGGGGUGGGAUAUUUA
RNA transcript from Ziziphus jujuba (common jujube), 1182 nucleotides. RefSeq lists it as uncharacterized. The transcript is spliced from 4 exons. The record is from RefSeq and is a predicted model, not a curated record. NCBI's taxonomy places the organism in Eukaryota, Viridiplantae, Streptophyta, Magnoliopsida, Rosales, Rhamnaceae.